AGUGAACGCUGGCGGUAGGCCUAACACAUGCAAGUCGACCGGCAGCACAGUAAGAGCUUGCUCUUACGGGUGGCGAGUGGCGGACGGGUGAGGAAUACAUCGGAAUCUACUUUUUCGUGGGGGAUAACGUAGGGAAACUUACGCUAAUACCGCAUACGACCUACGGGUGAAAGCAGGGGAUCUUCGGACCUUGCGCGAUUGAAUGAGCCGAUGUCGGAUUAGCUAGUUGGCGGGGUAAAGGCCCACCAAGGCGACGAUCCGUAGCUGGUCUGAGAGGAUGAUCAGCCACACUGGAACUGAGACACGGUCCAGACUCCUACGGGAGGCAGCAGUGGGGAAUAUUGGACAUUGGGCGCAAGCCUGAUCCAGCCAUACCGCGUGGGUGAAGAAGGCCUUCGGGUUGUAAAGCCCUUUUGUUGGGAAAGAAAAGCAGCAGGUUAAUACCCCGCUGUUCUGACGGUACCCAAAGAAUAAGCACCGGCUAACUUCGUG
This 492-nucleotide ribosomal RNA is filed under the name uncultured bacterium. RNAcentral describes it as "partial 16S ribosomal RNA". It matches the Rfam family "Bacterial small subunit ribosomal RNA", at positions 29 to 507 of the family's 1533-position model. The record is from RNAcentral.